UUCUAGAAGUUAAAUUUAUUUGAUAAAUUCCAUGAUAUGUGAACAGAUAAAUAGGUUGACAGUCUUGUCUAUCAAUAACAUAAUCUUAAAAAGAAAAAAAAAAGUUCCUCCAACCUUUUUUUUUUGUCUCUAUUUUAUUGACAUAGGCUUAGAGAGCUUCACGCAAGUAAUGUAGCCUUAGAGAGCUACACACAAGUAAU
Molecule: non-coding RNA, 200 nt
Organism: Biomphalaria pfeifferi
Lineage: Eukaryota; Metazoa; Mollusca; Gastropoda; Planorbidae
Source: the annotation of a GenBank genome assembly